This 311-nucleotide long non-coding RNA is filed under the name Vigna radiata. RNAcentral describes it as "long non-coding RNA (VRAD_LNC014916)". The record is from RNAcentral. Lineage: Eukaryota; Viridiplantae; Streptophyta; Magnoliopsida; Fabales; Fabaceae.
GGCUUUCGGAGCUUGAGAUUCAUUGAUUCACCUACACACCUUCAUUGAGACAUCCAUCAAACACUUACCGUGCCUCAUCUUCAUCCAUCUAUCCGCUGCCUUCUCUGGUUUUGGAAGUGUUCGUUAUUAAAUUGCAAGGAUGCUUCCAUCAUUUGGCAUCAAGAGCCAGUCGUUCCAAUCACGCUUCAAGAGCUAAGUGUCUCGUUUCCAUUUCCUCUGUUUUUCCGUCUUGUACUGUUCUUUGCACUGUUGAAUUGCUUUUGUGUUUUGAUUCUUUCUGUUUGAGUGAAUUUUGUUUCGUUCACUGUUCC